GGAAUCUUCCACAAUGGGCGAAAGCCUGAUGGAGCAACGCCGCGUGUGUGAUGAAGGCUUUCGGGUCGUAAAGCACUGUUGUAUGGGAAGAACAGCUAGAAUAGGGAAUGAUUUUAGUUUGACGGUACCAUACCAGAAAGGGACGGCUAAAUACGUGCCAGCAGCCGCGGUAAUACGUAUGUCCCGAGCGUUAUCCGGAUUUAUUGGGCGUAAAGCGAGCGCAGACGGUUGAUUAAGUCUGAUGUGAAAGCCCGGAGCUCAACUCCGGAAUGGCAUUGGAAACUGGUUAACUUGAGUGCAGUAGAGGUAAGUGGAACUCCAUGUGUAGCGGUGGAAUGCGUAGAUAUAUGGAAGAACACCAGUGGCGAAGGCGGCUUACUGGACUGUAACUGACGUUGAGGCUCGAAAGUGUGGGUAGCAAACA
Molecule: ribosomal RNA, 424 nt
Filed under: uncultured Leuconostoc sp.
Lineage: Bacteria; Bacillati; Bacillota; Bacilli; Lactobacillales; Lactobacillaceae
Description: bacterial SSU rRNA
Rfam family: Bacterial small subunit ribosomal RNA
Source: RNAcentral